Long non-coding RNA from Oncorhynchus masou masou (cherry salmon), 377 nucleotides. RefSeq lists it as uncharacterized. Lineage: Eukaryota; Metazoa; Chordata; Actinopteri; Salmoniformes; Salmonidae. The record is from RefSeq and is a predicted model, not a curated record. The transcript has 3 exons.
UGCCAACACAGACUCGACCGAGGUGGUUCUGAACCGGAUCCCCCUGCCUGUUCUGGCCCGCUUUGUACGCGUCAGACCCCAGACCUGGAAGACAGGCAUCGCCCUGCGCUUGGAGCUCUACGGGUGUCAGAUCACCGACGCUCCAUGUUCUGAGAUGCAGGGGAUGCUGUCCGGCCUGCUGCCCGACUCCCAGAUCACGGCGUCAUCCAUGAGGGAUAUCCACGGCUCCAUGGGGACGGCCAGGCUGGUAGCCAGCAGGUCAGGAUGGUUCCCCAGCCCAACACAGCCUCUGGCCGGGGAGGAGUGGCUUCAGGUGGACUUGGGGGUCCCCAAGACCGUACGCGGCGUCAUCACCCAGGGAGUCAGGACAGUGGAGG